AAGGGCAGAGAACAACAUCUCGGACGACCCUGUCAUGAUAAAUGCUGCUCGAUAUAUCAUACAGCGCUCGCUGUUCUUGCCAGUUCAGCGAGUUUGUCCUCUUUCUCGACAGCCCAAAUUCUCCCUGGCGCUACCUUGUUCAUCUUUCUUCUUCUGUGGAUUUCUUUUCUUAGCUUCUGAUUGGUCAUUUCCAGUUUGCUCAACAAAUCGGCUCGUUCAACAGCACACACGUCACGCUUUCAAUCCGACAGCUCCCGAAGUUUUUUGACAUGUUUAAAAAUGAUCGUGAGGUCGGGAAGUGCUCGUAAGGCACUCUGCUCGUCUCGCAAUUUCUCACACACCAUACGAGCCCCGACCAUACGAGAAGAGACGAUUUCCUCCCAUAACCAAAAAAAAAUCGCAUGCGAGCUCGUACGACCUCAAAAAUCGCACCGUGUACGCCCGCCUUAAGACGCUUAAACGUUUCUCGCAGAUUUGAAUUGCUAUGCAGUGUUGACGUGGAGGUCGCUUUUAACAGGGAAACGUAAGAAGUAAGUGUUUUGCCUCAUUUAAAAUAUGUAUUUUAUAACUGUAUGCUUCUAAACCAACAUAUAGUUUCUUACAGAUCUCAUUUGCUUUACAGUGCUAACGUAGAUCAUUUUUAACAGGGAAAGAUGCGGAGCAGACAGAGAAGUUGGUUUUAUCAAAGAAAACACAGAAAAUCUGAAUUGCUAUGCAGUGCUGAGGUGGAGGUAAUUUUUAACAGGGAAACACUAGGAAUAUUAAUUUCUAUGCAGUGCUGACGUGAAGGUCGCUAUAACAGUUUCUACAAUAUUUAAGAUGCUGUGAUGAUGAUACAUCCCGGAACCACUUCUGGCCAAAUUGGUUUCCAACAUAAGGGUGGAAUCAGACCUGGAUAACGCCCAACAUCUGGAACAGACAGACAGACACACACACA
Molecule: long non-coding RNA, 937 nt
Organism: Labeo rohita (rohu)
Lineage: Eukaryota; Metazoa; Chordata; Actinopteri; Cypriniformes; Cyprinidae
Exons: 6
Source: RefSeq, a predicted model, not a curated record